GGGGGGUCUAUCAUGCAGUCGAGCGAUGAUGAGGAGCUUGCUCCUCUGAUUUAGCGGCGGACGGGUGAGUAACACGUGGGUAAUCUGCCUGUAAGACGGGGAUAACUCCGGGAAACCGGGGCUAAUACCGGAUAAUAAAAAGAAACGCAUGUUUCUUUUUUGAAAGUCGGUUUCGGCUGACACUUACAGAUGAGCCCGCGGCGCAUUAGCUAGUUGGUGAGGUAACGGCUCACCAAGGCGACGAUGCGUAGCCGACCUGAGAGGGUGAUCGGCCACACUGGGACUGAGACACGGCCCAGACUCCUACGGGAGGCAGCAGUAGGGAAUCUUCGGCAAUGGGCGAAAGCCUGACCGAGCAACGCCGCGUGAGCGAUGAAGGCCUUCGGGUCGUAAAGCUCUGUUGUUAGAGAAGAACAAGUACGAGAGUAACUGCUCGUACCUUGACGGUACCUAACCAGAAAGCCACGGCUAACUACGUGCCAGCAGCCGCGGUAAUACGUAGGUGGCAAGCGUUAUCCGGAAUUAUUGGGCGUAAAGCGCGCGCAGGCGGUCUCUUAAGUCUGAUGUGAAAGCCCACGGCUCAACCGUGGAGGGUCAUUGGAAACUGGGAGACUUGAGUGCAGGAGAGAAAAGUGGAAUUCCACGUGUAGCGGUGAAAUGCGUAGAGAUGUGGAGGAACACCAGUGGCGAAGGCGGCUUUUUGGCCUGUAACUGACGCUGAGGCGCGAAAGCGUGGGGAGCAAACAGGAUUAGAUACCCUGGUAGUCCACGCCGUAAACGAUGAGUGCUAGGUGUUGGGGGGUUCCACCCUCAGUGCUGAAGUUAACACAUUAAGCACUCCGCCUGGGGAGUACGACCGCAAGGUUGAAACUCAAAGGAAUUGACGGGGGCCCGCACAAGCAGUGGAGCAUGUGGUUUAAUUCGAAGCAACGCGAGAACCUUA
This 943-nucleotide ribosomal RNA is filed under the name uncultured prokaryote. Its description in RNAcentral is "bacterial SSU rRNA". It matches the Rfam family "Bacterial small subunit ribosomal RNA", at positions 41 to 973 of the family's 1533-position model. The record is from RNAcentral.